GGGGAAUAUUGCACAAUGGGCGCAAGCCUGAUGCAGCGACGCCGCGUGAGGGAUGGAGGCCUUCGGGUUGUAAACCUCUUUCGCCAGUGAAGCAGGCCUGUCCCUUUUGUGGGUGGGUUGACGGUAGCUGGAUAAGAAGCGCCGGCUAACUACGUGCCAGCAGCCGCGGUAGUACGUAGGGCGCGAGCGUUGUCCGGAAUUAUUGGGCGUAAAGAGCUCGUAGGCGGCUGGUCGCGUCUGUCGUGAAAUCCUCUGGCUUAACUGGGGGCUUGCGGUGGGUACGGGCCGGCUUGAGUGCGGUAGGGGAGACUGGAACUCCUGGUGUAGCGGUGGAAUGCGCAGAUAUCAGGAAGAACACCGGUGGCGAAGGCGGGUCUCUGGGCCGUUACUGACGCUGAGGAGCGAAAGCGUGGGGAGCGAACAGGAUUAGAUACCCUGGUAGUCCACGCCGUAAACGUUGGGCACUAGGUGUGGGGGGCCUUUUCCGGGUCUUCCGCGCCGUAGCUAACGCAUUAAGUGCCCCGCCUGGGGAGUACGGCCGCAAGGCUA
RNAcentral lists this ribosomal RNA (549 nucleotides) under uncultured bacterium. RNAcentral's name for it is "bacterial SSU rRNA". It matches the Rfam family "Bacterial small subunit ribosomal RNA", at positions 356 to 896 of the family's 1533-position model. The record is from RNAcentral.